CGCCCAUUCCCCCUCGUUCCCCUCUCUGACUCUCGGUUUCGGCGACGCUCAAAGACUCCGUCGCCAUGGCCACGCUCGAUCCCGUGCCCACCGAGCUCCCCACCGGCUGCGACCUUGUCCAGUAGAACCGUCGGGGUCCACUGCUUCGCCUACACCGAAGACCUCAAGCCCAUCGCCUCUCCAUCGCCAGAUCACCGUCUUCUUCUUCCUCCAGACGUCGAGCUCCACCGCGUUGAUCCGCAUCAGCUCGGGCUCCUCUGGCGUCCCCAAGCCUUCUCGUCAACACCCAUGGUGGAUCCCUGGAGCCAGAUGCCACCGCUAAUGGAUGCUACUACGUGAAGAUCGCUGACGACCAGAAGUAGUUAUUGGGUCCCAGGCAGGAGGCCUUGCCUCUUCUCUCGUUGUUGCUUUUAUGUUAGCCUUCUUAAGGCAUCUUUGGUUAACUUAUGUCUGUACUCAGAUAUUGUUGCUUCCGCUGACUCUUGUGUAUCGAGCUAUGUAUUCGAGCCCUCGAGGCCCCUGGCUUGUAAUAUAAAACUUGUUUUUUUUUAA
Triticum aestivum (bread wheat) is the source of this 552-nucleotide long non-coding RNA. RefSeq lists it as uncharacterized. The record is from RefSeq and is a predicted model, not a curated record. NCBI's taxonomy places the organism in Eukaryota, Viridiplantae, Streptophyta, Magnoliopsida, Poales, Poaceae. The transcript has 2 exons.